RNAcentral lists this transfer RNA (122 nucleotides) under Gemmatimonadaceae bacterium. RNAcentral's name for it is "tRNA-OTHER". It matches the Rfam family "tRNA". Rfam says of the family: Transfer RNA (tRNA) molecules are approximately 80 nucleotides in length. Their secondary structure includes four short double-helical elements and three loops (D, anti-codon, and T loops). Further hydrogen bonds mediate the characteristic L-shaped molecular structure. tRNAs have two regions of fundamental functional importance: the anti-codon, which is responsible for specific mRNA codon recognition, and the 3' end, to which the tRNAs corresponding amino acid is attached (by aminoacyl-tRNA synthetases). tRNAs cope with the degeneracy of the genetic code in two manners: having more than one tRNA (with a specific anti-codon) for a particular amino acid; and 'wobble' base-pairing, i.e. permitting non-standard base-pairing at the 3rd anti-codon position. Lineage: Bacteria; Pseudomonadati; Gemmatimonadota; Gemmatimonadia; Gemmatimonadales; Gemmatimonadaceae. The record is from RNAcentral.
AGGGCCGUAGCUCAACUGGUAGAGCAUGAGAAUACCCUCGCUGUUCACUUGCCCGCGUGGCGGGCCGAAGGCAUGGGGGUUAUCGGAUCUCCGCGUUGCGGGUUCGAGUCCCGUCGGCCCUU